Falco peregrinus (peregrine falcon) is the source of this 264-nucleotide long non-coding RNA. RefSeq lists it as uncharacterized. The record is from RefSeq and is a predicted model, not a curated record. Lineage: Eukaryota; Metazoa; Chordata; Aves; Falconiformes; Falconidae. The transcript has 3 exons.
GCAGAACAUCCAUGAAACCAUGGGACUUGUACUGGCUUAUCAGUUCAGAGAUGUUUGAGUCCUCUCCACAGAAGAUUCUGUGAAAAGAUGGAAACCAGAAAUACCUGUGUCCCACCAGGACAGAAGCUGUACAGCUAAGGAUGAGACUGGGGACUCCAGCCUGUGGUAGGCAGGUUAAUUUCUGAAGAUUGCCCUGCUGACUGAGUUGCUGGGCAGUGUUCUAGUGCAAAAAGCUCUGCAAGAACAGAACUCUGGUGAUGAAUU